GAUGAACGCUGGCGGCGUGCCUAAUACAUGCAAGUCGAGCGAACAGACGAGGAGCUUGCUCCUCUGACGUUAGCGGCGGACGGGUGAGUAACACGUGGAUAACCUACCUAUAAGACUGGGAUAACUUCGGGAAACCGGAGCUAAUACCGGAUAACAUGUUGAACCGCAUGGUUCAACAGUGAAAGACGGCCUUGCUGUCACUUAUAGAUGGAUCCGCGCCGCAUUAGCUAGUUGGUAAGGUAACGGCUUACCAAGGCAACGAUGCGUAGCCGACCUGAGAGGGUGAUCGGCCACACUGGAACUGAGACACGGUCCAGACUCCUACGGGAGGCAGCAGUAGGGAAUCUUCCGCAAUGGGCGAAAGCCUGACGGAGCAACGCCGCGUGAGUGAAGAAGGUCUUCGGAUCGUAAAACUCUGUUAUUAGGGAAGAACAAAUGUGUAAGUAACUAUGCACGUCUUGACGGUACCUAAUCAGAAAGCCACGGCUAACUACGUG
This 497-nucleotide ribosomal RNA is filed under the name uncultured bacterium. Its description in RNAcentral is "partial 16S ribosomal RNA". It matches the Rfam family "Bacterial small subunit ribosomal RNA", at positions 28 to 507 of the family's 1533-position model. The record is from RNAcentral.